UACGUAGGGGGCAAGCGUUGUCCGGAAUUAUUGGGCGUAAAGCGCGCGCAGGCGGUCAUUUAAGUUUGGUGUUUAAUCCCGGAGCUCAACUCCGGGUCGCACUGAAAACUGGGUGACUUGAGUACAGAAGAGGAGAGUGGAAUUCCACGUGUAGCGGUGAAAUGCGUAGAUAUGUGGAGGAACACCAGUGGCGAAGGCGACUCUCUGGGCUGUAACUGACGCUGAGGCGCGAAAGCGUGGGGAGCGAACAGG
This 252-nucleotide ribosomal RNA is filed under the name uncultured bacterium. RNAcentral describes it as "partial 16S ribosomal RNA". It matches the Rfam family "Bacterial small subunit ribosomal RNA", at positions 524 to 776 of the family's 1533-position model. The record is from RNAcentral.